GCGGCUGGAGCUGUGGGCGCAUCUACACAGUGGAGAGACCUGCUUGGCGAAUGCAGUCUGGCGAAGGCAGUCCAGCGAAGGCUGGCUGGCGCAGGCCGACUAAGCGAAGGCUGGCUGGCGCUGUCUGCUGUGCUAGGGUGUUGCGAGGCUGUGUGGACUUGGUUGGGCGGUGGGCGUGCCUGCACCGCCUGUGCUAGGUUGCGGGCGCUGUGGCUUGUGUUGUCUGGUGGGUCGGACCGGCUGAUCCUCGUGGUUCAGCGAACUUGCACGGCCCUGGGCCGUCUACAGGAUGCAGCUUCGGGCUGCACCCAACAGUGUGAGGGCCCUGCCCUGUUGGUGCUGGUGUUUUGGGGUAGGAGUUGCACUUUGCAAAGUGGCAGUCAGUCUGACGCCGACCCGCGGCUUAGGUGAGCAGCGCUAGCGUUUGCGGUGAGCCUUGCUCGGGGUUCCUCCCCUCCUUUAGUGAGGCGAGGAGCAUGGGGGUCAUUCGAGGUUCCCUCCUCGAGUGUGCGUACGUGUCUCGUGCGUUUAUGGAGCCCUGGCUUGCCCGUGGCUGUCAUCCCACAUGUAACCUCUAUUCGCUAACCCAGCGCUAGCGUUUGCGGUGAGCCGGGCCUGGGGUUCCUCCCCUCUCCGGAGGCGAGGAGCAUGGGGGUCAUUCGGGGGUCUCUCCUCGGGUGAGCGUGCGUGUCUCGUACGUUUUUGGGGCCCUGGCUAGUCCACGGCUGUCGUCCCACAUGUAACCUCUAUCAGCUAACCACCCUGGCUAGUCCACGGCUGUCGUCCCACAUGUAACCUCUAUCAGCUAGCUCGUUCUACUCCGCUUGGUUGCGUUAGGGCGCCUCGGCGCCCUGACCCUCCUUGUCGGUAGUAGUUCCUGGCCGGCCUUUGUGGCCGCGCCCAUCCCCUGUGGCGCCUCCAUGGCGUCCCUGGCGUUGCUUAGGUCAGCUGUAGUGCGUCAGUGCUGCUCUGGCUGCGGCGCGCCACUCAGUCGGCGACAUCAUCGUCGCCGUCCUGCCGAGCGGCCCCCGCUCUGGCACUCUUUGCCGAACAUCAUGACUUCACACCGUGGAGCCUUCGCGACCUAGCGUGGGUGGCGCGCCUGCUCGCCGGUCGACCUCGUCCUCAUGGCUUCGCGAUGCUUCUGGCGGGGCGCUCGCUGCUGCCGGGCUCGCAGUGGCGUGUCGCUGAGCGGCUCUUUCGGUAACGGAGGGCCGAUUGGAGCUGCUGGCGACUCUUGCUGUGGGCUGCUGCCGCGGCCUGACGUGGCGCCGGGCUCGCCGCGCGUGAACAGGGGCACGCUGCGGCGGGAGCCAGGACCGGCGUCUUCCGGGCGGCGGCGGCUGGAGCUGUGGGCGCAUCUACACAGUGGAGAGACCUGCUUGGCGAAUGCAGUCUGGCGAAGGCAGUCCAGCGAAGGCUGGCUGGCGCAGGCCGACUAAGCGAAGGCUGGCUGGCGCUGUCUGCUGUGCUAGGGUGUUGCGAGGCUGUGUGGACUUGGUUGGGCGGUGGGCGUGCCUGCACCGCCUACGCUAGGUUGCGGGCGCUGUGGCUUGUGCUGUCUGGUGGGUCGGACCGGCUGAUCCUCGUGGUUCAGCGAACUUGCACGGCCCUAGGCCGUCUACAGGAUGCAGCUUCGGGCUGCACCCAACAGUGUGAGGGCCCUGCCCUGUUGGUGCUGGUGUUUUGGGGUAGGAGUUGCACUUUGCAAAGUGGCAGUCAGUCUGACGCCGACCCGCGGCUUAGGUGAGCAGCGCUAGCGUUUGCGGUGAGCCUUGCUCGGGGUUCCUCCCCUCCUUUAGUGAGGCGAGGAGCAUGGGGGUCAUUCGAGGUUCCCUCCUCGAGUGUGCGUACGUGUCUCGUGCGUUUAUGGAGCCCUGGCUUGCCCGUGGCUGUCAUCCCACAUGUAACCUCUAUUCGCU
Molecule: long non-coding RNA, 1922 nt
Filed under: Chlamydomonas reinhardtii
Lineage: Eukaryota; Viridiplantae; Chlorophyta; Chlorophyceae; Chlamydomonadales; Chlamydomonadaceae
Description: long non-coding RNA (CREI_LNC000955)
Source: RNAcentral